Molecule: ribosomal RNA, 253 nt
Filed under: uncultured bacterium
Lineage: Bacteria
Description: partial 16S ribosomal RNA
Rfam family: Bacterial small subunit ribosomal RNA
Source: RNAcentral
UACGAAGGGUGCAAGCGUUACUCGGAAUUACUGGGCGUAAAGGGUGCGUAGGCGGUUGUUUAAGUCUGUUGUGAAAGCCCCGGGCUCAACCUGGGAAUGGCAAUGGAUACUGGACAGCUAGAGUGCGGUAGAGGGUAGUGGAAUUCCCGGUGUAGCAGUGAAAUGCGUAGAGAUCGGGAGGAACACCAGUGGCGAAGGCGGCUACCUGGACCAGCACUGACACUGAAGCGCGAAAGCGUGGGGAGCAAACAGG